Molecule: long non-coding RNA, 1090 nt
Filed under: Monodelphis domestica (gray short-tailed opossum)
Lineage: Eukaryota; Metazoa; Chordata; Mammalia; Didelphimorphia; Didelphidae
Description: lncRNA (ENSMODG00000051074.1)
Source: RNAcentral
AUGACUUCACUUCCAGCUCCCUCUCUGGUUGGCUCCACCUCUCCACCAGCUGCUUUGUCCCUUGAGGAUGACUCCACCCUGAAGCCUGCUUACUCCUUGAUGAGUCCCUGCCUGGAACAGCCCUAUCAGGAGAGUCCCCGACCAUACUGCUCACUUCCUCUUCUGGCUUACUCUGGCUGCAACAGAUUUCCCUGCUGCCCCUGCGUCUGGGAUGCCUUGGAGGUGGGGCAGGAUUUCCAAGCUGGCCAUCUGCACCCGGGGAGAUUGACAGCAGCCGGGAAGGCCAGUGCCUUUACCCUACCCACCCCGGCACCAGGCCCCCGGAGCAAAGCAGGGACAUCUGCUCACCUUAAUUUAGAAACGCUGGCUCUCAUUUCACUAGAGCCCCUCGGCUUAACAUUCUGCCCUGGCCUUUCUCGGUGUCUCCUUUCCCAGGAGAAAGGCAGCCGAGCCUUCCUCCGUGGGCGCAAAGAGGAAGAGGAGGGUGGGCCAGCAGGGCACCCUCCCGUUCAUCCGUCCCAUCCACUUCGGGGCUGUAGGCCACUUUCCUCGGUGGAGCAGGGCUGGGGGAGAGGUGACUCUCGGCUCCUGCUCCCAGCCAGGAAGGUCGCCUGCAAGUGUUCCAGCUUGGACAGGCCCAGGCAGGGAGCGGGACGGGACGGGACAGGACUUGCAGCCUGGGACAGUCAGCCAAGACCACUAAGCUGUGUCCAAGCAGAGGAGACAAAAACCCAGCGUCUCCUUCUAAAGGUUAAAAAAGGUAUUCUGCUUUUCCUGCUCUGGAUUCAAACACAGACCCAAGCAAAAUUGAGGGAAUAUGCUAGGGGGUGUCUUGGAAAGAGCGGGCGGGAGCAUCAGAAUGGCCUUUUUUCAUGCGUUCAAAUCCAGCCUCAGACACUUACCAGCGAUCCUGUUUGCCUCAGUUUCCUCAUCUGUAAAAUGAGCGGGAGAAGGAAAUGGCAAACCACUCCAAUGUCUUUGUCAAAAACAAACAAACAAACAAACAAACAACAACAACAACAAAAAACCUCAAAUGAAGUCACCAAGAGUCAGAUACAACUGAAAAUACACCUCAGGGUGAAAGUCUUCU